Molecule: long non-coding RNA, 242 nt
Filed under: Elaeis guineensis (African oil palm)
Lineage: Eukaryota; Viridiplantae; Streptophyta; Magnoliopsida; Arecales; Arecaceae
Description: long non-coding RNA (EGUI_LNC041512)
Source: RNAcentral
UGCACUACCGUAAAUUUCUUUCAACCUUGGACAAUAACCAAGAUAGAAGACCCACAAUGGUAAGUGCCCAAUAACAUGGUGGUCGGCCCUUAGAUCUUAAGUAAAUGUAUUAAAUGUAAGAACCCUAAGUCUUAGCAAUGUACAUCCAAUAUAUCAUUCCAAGACUUUGCGCAUCACAUGCACUGGAUUUACAACUCCAAAGAAAAUUAGAUCAAAGGACCUAACUUAAACUUGUCUCACAA